GAGUUUGAUCCUGGCUCAGAACGAACGCUGGCGGCGUGCCUAACACAUGCAAGUUGAGCGGGAAAGUUUCCUUCGGGAAGCGAGUACAGCGGCGAACGGGUGAGUAACACGUAGGUAACCUACCCUGGAGACUGGGAUAACCCGUCGAAAGACGGGCUAAUACUAGAUAAGACCACGAGGGCCCCGGCCCUUGAGGUAAAAGGUGGCCUCUGCUUGCAAGCUACCACUCCUGGAUGGGCCUGCGCGCCAUUAGCUUGUUGGUGAGGUAACGGCCCACCAAGGCUGAGAUGACUAGCUGGUCUGAGAGGAUGAUCAGCCACACUGGGACUGAGACACGGCCCAGACUCCUACGGGAGGCAGCAGUGGGGAAUAUUGCGCAAUGGGCGAAAGCCUGACGCAGCGACGCCGCGUGGGUGAUGAAGGCCUUCGGGUCGUAAAGCUCUGUCAGGAGGGACGAAAUCUCGUCGGCCGAAUACGUCGGCGACUUGACGGUACCUCCAAAGGAAGCACCGGCUAACUCCGUGCCAGCAGCCGCGGUAAUACGGAGGGUGCAAGCGUUGUUCGGAAUCACUGGGCGUAAAGAGCGUGUAGGCGGCCAUUUAAGUCCGAUGUGAAAGCCCGGGGCUCAACCCCGGAAGUGCAUUGGAUACUGAGUGGCUAGAGUUCGGUAGAGGAGGGCGGAAUUCCUGGUGUAGCGGUGAAAUGCGUAGAUAUCAGGAGGAACACCGGUGGCGAAGGCGGCCCUCUGGUCCGAUACUGACGCUGAUGUGCGAAAGCGUGGGGAGCAAACAGGAUUAGAUACCCUGGUAGUCCACGCCGUAAACGAUGAGUACUAGGUGUUGGAGGUAUUGACCCCUUCAGUGCCGCAGCUAACGCAUUAAGUACUCCGCCUGGGAACUACGGCCGCAAGGCUGAAACUCAAAGGAAUUGACGGGGGCCCGCACAAGCGGUGGAGCAUGUUGUUUAAUUCGAGGCAACGCGAAGAACCUUACCCAGAUUUAACAUACAGUGAAUUUUUCAGAGAUGAAGAAGUGCCGUCGGGAACACGGUGACAGGUGCUGCAUGGCUGUCGUCAGCUCGUGUCGUGAGAUGUUGGGUUAAGUCCCGUAACGAGCGCAACCCUUGUCUUUAGUUGCCAGCGAGUAAUGGCGGGGACUCUAGUGAGACUGCCGGUGACAAACCGGAGGAAGGCGGGGACGACGUCAAGUCAUCAUGGCCCUUACGGGUAGGGCUACACACGUGCUACAAUGGCCGGUACAGAGGGCAGCGAAGGGGUGACCUGGAGCGAAUCUUUUAAAGCCGGUCGUAGUCCGGAUUGAAGUCUGCAACUCGACUUCAUGAAGUCGGAAUCGCUAGUAAUCGCGAAUCAGCAUGUCGCGGUGAAUACGUUCCCGGGCCUUGUACACAC
This 1408-nucleotide ribosomal RNA is filed under the name uncultured prokaryote. Its description in RNAcentral is "partial 16S ribosomal RNA". It matches the Rfam family "Bacterial small subunit ribosomal RNA". The record is from RNAcentral.